GUAGCCGUGCUCAGCGCUGUAGUACAUGGCCUCCUGCAGGGCUUUCGUGCGCGCCCGGCUCAGCCGCACAGGCCCCUCACCGCCACUGCCCUGGCUUGACGUAUCACUUUCCUCUACGCCUUCAGCCAGGAUCUCCUCCAGGGACAGCACGUCUGCUUUGGCCUGUUGCGGCUGCGUCAGAAGCUUCCUCAGGACGUUCCUGUGGGACAAGGGACAGGCGUGAUGCAUGAGGUCAGUGCCCUUCUGCACUGCCUUCCAGCACCUCGUGGCCCUACUGGGUGGCUAGGGGCAUCUGUGGACACACAGCCCUCAUGCCCUCAUAGCCUACCCCUCCCAGGGAGACCGGGCCAGGGGUUGUGCACAGAUACUUGGCAGGGAGGAUGCAGGCACCCCUUCCCUCAAUUAUCCAGGUGCUACCGACUGAGAAGUCACAGCCUCUGGGGUCAAGCAGGCUCCGCCAUCCGAGCUGUGUGACCUCAGACUGGCUAUCCUACCCUCUGAGGCCUGCCGGCUUUGUCAUCUGUUGAAGAGGGCUCAGCAUUACUCUUUCCUGGGGUUAAUGAGGCCACUGUGACCGCACUAAAUGCAGAGCCUGAUGCACAACAGACAUAAUAGCUGCUGACUGUAUGUGCAGAACUGUCGGCAACACAGGACAAGCUUAUACUUGUUCCCCUUCCUGCACUGAUGAGGCUGACGUGAGGAGGUAUGUUACACAGGACUCAUCCCGUGUACCGGCGCGUGGGACCCCUGAACAUCACCAUUUUCAGGUGAUCAAUAGGUCUUGCUCAAGGUCACAGUGGGAGAGUGCACUGAACCCAGGACUUCAGCUCCAAACCCACAUCCGUGGCCUGGGACUGGAUGGCUGCAGCAAAGGUCACCUGGGGCCUAGCCUCCUCUCUGGAGCCCUUUCUCCUCCCCAGGAUGAGAGCCAUGGUGUGACACAGCCAACCUCACGGUCCAGAGACCCCUUGGGGGUCAGCUAUAGCUGUGCUAGCCCAGGGGUGGUGUGCACGGGUAUGUGACAGUGACCUGUGCUGUCCUGAGGAUCCCAUGUUGCAGGGAGUACACGAGCCAGCAGGCAAUCCCCACGCUGGGCGGAGAGGGCCCAUCAAGAAAAUACAGGGGCACUUGGGGGAGGCAGGUUUAAGCGGGUGAGCAUGGGCACAGGGUCACACAAGAAAAAGAGAAAAAUGCUGGGGCAGAGUGUGGCUCUGAGGUGGGAGGCUGGCCCUUUCUCUGCCUUAUAGUGACUCUUCUGUCUCCAGAGCUGCCCGCUGCUGCCCCUGAACAGGCCCCACGGAGCAAGGCUACCGUGAGCUCUUGGAGUGGAACCUGACUUCCUAUAGCUUCACCAGGAGCCAUGUGCCCUAUGGAAGCCCCUGGAGCAUGUGGCUGCGGGCCCCGGAGAGCCAGCACUGAGGUGGCUGCGGGGUGGUGUGUCCUGCACGGCCCAGUUCUUCUGCUCCCUUUUGGGGAACCAGAGCUCCUGAGAGCCGGUGUCAUGUCCCCACAUACACAGGGCAGCAAGCCCCAACAGGUACCUGUGGCCGUGGGCAGCUGAGUGGCUGAAGCAGUUCAUGUCCUCGUGGAGGGAGGAGGCCAUGCCGUUGGCUUCCAGCAUGCUGAGGAGGGGGUCAGCACCUCGACUUAGCAGCAAGCUGACCAGCUCGUAGUUCCCUAAAAGACAAGGUGGACUGAGCAUGCUGCCACCACCCAUGUCACCAAGCCCUCUGCUGAGUCCUACCUGGUUGCUGAGCUCAGCAGAAACACAGAUGGAUGGGGCAAAGGGAGCCCUUCAGAAGCCCAGAAGCAGGGGCUUUAAGCUCACCUGUCAGACAAGAAAGCCCGAAUGGUGAGGAAAGAUCCUCUUUGCUAAAUGUCAUUUCCGUGCAUAUUAUUUGCAGUCUUCAGAAACAUCUACCCAGUUGUCCAAAACCUUGCACCAGCAUCGCCAGUGGAGAUCUUGAGGUGCUUCCUUGCUAGGCCGGGGAUUUAGGCACAGCUCUUUGGGGCUCCCUCACCUGGAUGUCCAGAUUUGCUCCGGCAUCAAUCAGCAUCUGGACCAUCGCUUCAUCCCCAGCAGCACAGGCAUACAUCAGCGGCGUCAUACCCUGCAUGGACCAAAAGCAGGAAACUGAACAUUGACAUCUGGGCCACCGGCUUCUGUCCUAGGAACCAAAGGUCUGGUCCCCUGCUUGACAGGCUGCUCACCCUGAGUGACUCUGGAUCCUGUGCUGGGUGGGCCUGCCCUUCCCCCUGCGCAUCUAAUACCUAAAGGGUGAAUAGGGGACAUUUCCACAGGCACUGCAGGCCCCCAGAGGUGUGAAGAGCACAGGCCACCUCUGCCCGGGAAACCUGUAAACUUGGUACACAUUUCUUAUACCUCUCUGCCUCAGUUUAUCUUUGAAAUGGAACUAGCAGCAGUAUUUACUGUACAGGGUUGUCCGGCGUCUGAGUUCCUAUGUGUAAGUGAUUAGUACAGGACCAGCUUGGUCACACUAAAUUAAAAGCAUAACACUAACUUACGGCUACCGCGUUAUCCCAGACCUGGAGAAGUGAUUGACGUGCACCACCUCAUUUAAUCACCAUAACAUCCCUACUCAGGCUCAUUAUUACUAUCCCCAUUAUGCCCCCUGAGGAGCAGAGAGCAAUUAACUUAUCCAAGAUCACACAAGCAAGAGCAACUCCCACUGCACCCAGGUCUGAGCAGUGAACUUCAGCCUUUGGGGCACCUGGUGGAGGG
Molecule: long non-coding RNA, 2743 nt
Organism: Talpa occidentalis (Iberian mole)
Lineage: Eukaryota; Metazoa; Chordata; Mammalia; Eulipotyphla; Talpidae
Exons: 3
Source: RefSeq, a predicted model, not a curated record